AAGUUGUAACAAGGUUUCUGUAGGUGAACCUGCAGAAGGAUCAUUAAUGAAUUAAAUUGAAAGGGAGUUGUUGCUGGUCUCUUCUCACCCGGGGGGAGGCAUUGUGCAUGCUCUCCUUUCCUUCAUUCAUCUACCCCCAUGUGCACUUAUUGUAGGCCGAGAAAUUCAGUCUAUGUAUUUUUCAUUUACACCCCUGUAAAAGUUUAAUGAAUGUUUCAAAUAAGAUUGAGGACAUGAGUCCUUCAAUUUUAAUAAAAUCUAAUACAACUUUCAACAAUGGAUCUCUUGGCUCUU
This 294-nucleotide unclassified non-coding RNA is filed under the name Arrhenia griseopallida. Its description in RNAcentral is "partial internal transcribed spacer region". The stretch from base 1 to 46 matches the Rfam family "Eukaryotic small subunit ribosomal RNA", at positions 1786 to 1831 of the family's 1831-position model. The record is from RNAcentral. Lineage: Eukaryota; Fungi; Basidiomycota; Agaricomycetes; Agaricales; Hygrophoraceae.